RNAcentral lists this ribosomal RNA (218 nucleotides) under uncultured prokaryote. RNAcentral describes it as "partial 16S ribosomal RNA". It matches the Rfam family "Bacterial small subunit ribosomal RNA", at positions 524 to 741 of the family's 1533-position model. The record is from RNAcentral.
UACAGAGGGGGCAAGCGUUGUUCGGAAUUACUGGGCGUAAAGGGCGCGUAGGCGGCCUGUUAAGUCGAACGUGAAAUCCCCGGGCUCAACCCGGGAACUGCGUCCGAUACUGGCAGGCUUGAAUCCGGGAGAGGGAUGCGGAAUUCCAGGUGUAGCGGUGAAAUGCGUAGAGAUCGAGCGGAACACCAGUGGCGAAGGCGAGUUCCUGGACAAGACCU